GCCUCUGUGGAUCAAGGUCAGAUCACCUCAGUCCGGUGUUGUCUUCUUCACUCUACACGAGGAGAUGUGGGUUCGAAUCCUACCAGAGGCA
Molecule: non-coding RNA, 91 nt
Organism: Mycena filopes
Lineage: Eukaryota; Fungi; Basidiomycota; Agaricomycetes; Agaricales; Mycenaceae
Source: the annotation of a GenBank genome assembly